UUCCGGUUGAUCCUGCCGGAAGCCACUGCUAUCGGGGUUCGACUAAGCCAUGCGAGUCGUAUGUUCCCCUUCGGGGGAGCAUGGCGCACUGCUCAGUAACACGUGGAUAACCUACCCUUGGGACAGGGAUAACCCCGGGAAACUGGGGAUAAUACCUGAUAGACCAUGGAGGCUGGAAGGCGCCAUGGUUCAAAGGGGCAACCGCCCGCCCAAGGAUGGGUCUGCGGCCUAUCAGGUUGUAGUGGGUGUAACGCACCUACUAGCCUACGACGGGUACGGGCUGUGGGAGCAGGAGCCCGGAGAUGGAUUCUGAGACAUGAAUCCAGGCCCUACGGGGUGCAGCAGGCGCGAAAACUUUACAAUGCGGGAAACCGUGAUAAGGGAACCUCGAGUGCCGAUGCAUAGCAUCGGCUGUCCAGAUGCCUAAAAAGCAUCUGAUAGCAAGGGCCGGGCAAGACCGGUGCCAGCCGCCGCGGUAACACCGGCGGCUCGAGUGGUGGCCACUUUUAUUGGGUCUAAAGCGUCCGUAGCCGGCUUGGCAAGUCCCCUGGGAAAUCUGGCGGCUUAACCGUCAGGCGUCCAGAGGAUACUGCCAGGCUUGGGACCGGGAGAGGUGAGAGGUACCUCAGGGGUAGGGGUGAAAUCUUGUGAUCCCUGAGGGACCACCAGUGGCGAAGGCGUCUCACUAGAACGGGUCCGACGGUCAGGGACGAAAGCUGGGGGCACGAACCGGAUUAGAUACCCGGGUAGUCCCAGC
RNAcentral lists this ribosomal RNA (757 nucleotides) under archaeon enrichment culture clone Dan60_A15E. Its description in RNAcentral is "bacterial SSU rRNA". It matches the Rfam family "Archaeal small subunit ribosomal RNA", at positions 1 to 751 of the family's 1478-position model. The record is from RNAcentral.